This 259-nucleotide ribosomal RNA is filed under the name uncultured Lamproderma sp. Its description in RNAcentral is "partial 18S ribosomal RNA". It matches the Rfam family "Eukaryotic small subunit ribosomal RNA", at positions 28 to 232 of the family's 1831-position model. Lineage: Eukaryota; Evosea; Eumycetozoa; Stemonitida. The record is from RNAcentral.
AUGCUUUUCCUAAAGAUUAAGCCAUGCAUGCCUUCGAAUAAGAGGAAGCAAUUCUCUCUGAAUCUGCGAACGGCUCCGCAAACCAGUUGUAAACCAAAGCAAGCUUGCUCGGGUUGGGCUUCGGCCUGGCCUGGGUGAUACGGAUAACCCUGGUAAUUCUGAGGCUAAUACGUGUAUUGGAACACCCGGUGGACCGGCCUCACGGCUGGGAUAUCGGGAGACGAGUGAUGGAAUGUUUUGGAGUUACCAGGAACGGGCG